This 313-nucleotide ribosomal RNA is filed under the name uncultured bacterium. RNAcentral describes it as "bacterial SSU rRNA". It matches the Rfam family "Bacterial small subunit ribosomal RNA", at positions 30 to 325 of the family's 1533-position model. The record is from RNAcentral.
AGUGAACGCUGGCGGCAGGCCUAACACAUGCAAGUCGAGCGGCAGCGGGUUCCCGCGAGGGGAUGCCGGCGAGCGGCGGACGGGUGAGGAACACAUCGGAAUCUGCCUGGUUGUGGGGGAUAACGUAGGGAAACUUACGCUAAUACCGCAUGAGACCCUGAGUCGACGGACUGGGGGUGAAAGUGAGGGACCUUCGGGCCUCACGCGACCAGAUGAGCCGAUGUCGGAUUAGCUAGUUGGCGGGGUAACGGCCCGCCAAGGCGACGAUCCGUAGCUGGUCUGAGAGGAUGAUCAGCCACACUGGGACUGAGAC